This 757-nucleotide ribosomal RNA is filed under the name uncultured Hyphomicrobiales bacterium. RNAcentral's name for it is "bacterial SSU rRNA". It matches the Rfam family "Bacterial small subunit ribosomal RNA", at positions 94 to 887 of the family's 1533-position model. The record is from RNAcentral. Lineage: Bacteria; Pseudomonadati; Pseudomonadota; Alphaproteobacteria; Hyphomicrobiales.
AGCGGCAGACGGGUGAGUAACGCGUGGGAAUCUACCUUAAGCUACGGGAUAACAGAGAGAAAUUUCUGCUAAUACCGUAUGUGGCCUAUGGGCGAAAGAUUUAUCGGCUUAAGAUGAGCCCGCGUUGGAUUAGCUAGUUGGUGGGGUAAAGGCCUACCAAGGCGACGAUCCAUAGCUGGUCUGAGAGGAUGAUCAGCCACACUGGGACUGGGACACGGCCCAGACUCCUACGGGAGGCAGCAGUGGGGAAUAUUGGACAAUGGGCGGAAGCCUGAUCCAGCCAUGCCGCGUGAGUGAAGAAGGCCUUAGGGUUGUAAAGCUCUUUCACCGGUGAAGAUAAUGACGGUAACCGGAGAAGAAGCCCCGGCUAACUUCGUGCCAGCAGCCGCGGUAAUACGAAGGGGGCUAGCGUUGUUCGGAUUUACUGGGCGUAAAGCGCGCGUAGGCGGAUAGAUAAGUCAGAGGUGAAAUCCCGGGGCUCAACCCCGGAAUUGCCUUUGAUACUGUUUAUCUUGAGUGCAGAAGAGGUAAGUGGAAUUCCGAGUGUAGAGGUGAAAUUCGUAGAUAUUCGGAGGAACACCAGUGGCGAAGGCGGCUUACUGGUCUGCAACUGACGCUGAGGCGCGAAAGCGUGGGGAGCAAACAGGAUUAGAUACCCUGGUAGUCCACGCCGUAAACGAUGGAAGCCAGCCGUUGGCAGANUUAUCUGUCNGUGGCGCANCUAACGCAUUAAGCUUCCCGCCUGGGGAGUACGGUC